Molecule: long non-coding RNA, 2723 nt
Filed under: Pelobates cultripes (western spadefoot toad)
Lineage: Eukaryota; Metazoa; Chordata; Amphibia; Anura; Pelobatidae
Source: RNAcentral
AAAAACUAUUUCUCGGUCUCUGAUAAUUACAUUAACCCAUUGUGUAAGGUAAUUGUAUCACAGGCAGAGGGGAUGAUUUUGUGUGGGAGUGUCUGUGGGUAUUGUACGUAUUGAUUGGUUGUUCUGCAAAACCCUGUGGGCAGUACUAUACGUGUAAAAUGUGCAUAAAAGCAGAGUGUUUGAUUAAAAGCUUCAGUUCUACUUCACCCUCAAUUUGAGUGCCGUCUCUUAUUAGGGGAAUCUGCUACAAGGUAUUUCUAUGCUAGUCAUACUCUCUUGCUAUAAUCACUAAGUUCUUUUAAGAGCUUGUUCCUGUUUUGCUCGCUAAAGGAGUCUACGGUGGUUAUGGUGUCUGCUGGAGUGCUUGGGGCCUACAGGAAGCGCUAGGAACAUCCUCCAACGGAGUUACCCAGUUGGGGUGCCAGGUGAUCCGUUACAUUCGCCGAACGGGAAUUAGUCUCUGUGGCUGAAAAUUCAGUGUAGGAGAAGGUAAGGGUCAGCGGUGUUCAUGGAACUGUGUAGCCGAUUUCAGUUCCAUAAAUUUGGCUCCACACACCGCUGACCGCAUUUGAAUGAAAAAAAAGAUGGCGCUGCCACGUGUUCGUUUGUGCGAAUGGCGGCCCACCAGCGGUCGGCAAUUUACCUACAGCAGGCUCCCAACCUGGGAGGUAAAUUGCCUGCACACUUCCAGUUCUGGGUGGUCCGCCUGUGUGGUACUUGGUUCAGUAAGCCCCAUUUACUGAACCAAAUGGGAAAAGGACACAAACAAAGUAUAUUAGGGGGACAGGGGACACAGUCUUAAAGUGACAUUGUUCCCAAAAGUUACAGUAUGUCCCCAGAUGGUUCUUAAAGGGCCAGAAGCAUAAUAAAAUACAAUAUGCCCAAAUACUGUAUUUAAAGGGACAAAUCUCCCAGGGGCCAUAAUCAGCAGACAGGAAGCGGGCAAACAAGCUUCUCCAAUACCCAGUGGUGAGGUUGGUUUCGCCACAGUAGGUAUAUUAGUACUUCGGCAAUACUGUGCUUCAGAACUUCUGCAAUUCGGAAGUAUCCAAAUUGCCCGAAAUUUGUCCAAAUUGACAUUCGGAACAAAACGAAAUGCACACGUCUAACAAGUGGUACCCCUUUGUUCAUCAGGAGAAAUAUUAGGUCCCAGGCAAUCUUGCCACUGAUUCCCAUAUGUUAUGAGCAACCUGGAAGGUCAAGGUGGCUAUCCUUUCCCUCAUACACCCGGAAGGCCUGAGUAUACCCAGUCUCGCUCUCACAGAGCUUAUACACCUUUACACCAUACCUGGAGCGCUUGGAACAAAUGUCCUGCCUGAAUCCCAGCUUUCCCUUAUACUUCAUCAGGGAUUCAUCCACGCAUAUAUUGGUUCCAAGUGUAUAAGCAUCUGCAAAACUGGCAGCGAAGUGGGUAAUCAGGAGGCGGAUAUUAUAAUUUCAUACCUCUUCCUCGACAUACAUUGGGAGUAAAUGAGGUUACGAUGCCUCUUUACGAUGCCCAUCAGCAUAGUCAGUGCCCAGAAUUUUUUUCAUUCUGGCACUUUAAUGGGGACUCAUUGCUGCGUUGCCAAGAAGAGAGUCAGGCUUUGCAGCACGGAACUGAUGGGCGUAUAAAUUAGUUUGAGCGACAAUGUUCCCGAAUACAUCAUCACCCAGAAACACCACCCUAAACUUUUGGGGGCUAAACCCCCAAGAGUUUGCCACUCCUGCGACAUCUACAUUGAUGCCAGGAUUUGCGGUGGGGAGGGGGGGGAAUGGGGAUUAAUACAUUGAUUUUAUUUGGUUUUUUUUUUUUAAAUAUAUUUUUCAAAAAUUUAUUUUUCACUGAGUGCCUUGAGCCCUCAAGGCACUCAGCACACAGGCAAGCAUCAGAAGCCUGCCCGAUGUGGGGCAACCCGGAAGUGAUGGCUCCAUGGGAGCGAUCAUUUGGUGGCCCGGCCAUCAGGAGAGGUAUUGCAGGAUGCCUUGGCAUCAAGGCAUCGCUACAAUACUGUUAGAGCAUCUGUAAUACACAAAGUCACAUAGGAAGGGGCCACAAAGGGGGCAGGGAUGACCGGGAGAGUAAAUAGCCCUCAACUCCCAACAGCCCCAGCCAGCAGGAGCCACCCUAAAGGUAUGUGUUUUGGAUGUCGCUAUGUAUGUAGUGUUUGUAUUUGUGUGUGUCAGUGCAUCUGUAGAUCUUUGUAUCUGUGUGUGUGCCAAGGUGUUUAUCUGUAUGUAUGCAUGUGUGUGUCAGUGUGCAUAUUUGUAUGUCUGUAUCUGUUAAGACACCCCUGGUGUCUUUAAACAAUACCGCCGUUUAGUCAACCUUCCCCUUCUGCAAUACCAAUAAUCUCCGUUCGCAUGAACUGCAGUGUACGAACCAAACUCAGGGGAAGCGGCAAUCUCCCGACCGGGAUCCGUGAACGGCUCCAAACUCCCGAACGGAAAUCCACGAACUGCUGCUAGCCGCCGAACAACAACAUCCACCAAGCGGCUUUCAGUUCCAUCCAGCAGUCUCUAAACGCAAAGAAGAAAUCCCCCCAAUAACGAGACAGAAGCUCCGCAUUGAGGGUCAAACAGGAUCUGGCUUUACUGUGGGCUACCUGCCCGUAUUUAUGCAGGUCUCUCACUUGGUGGACACUCCCUUAGGGGACCAAAUGGGAGACUAAUGACAGAUAGACAUUGGGACAUUCCAGACAUAGUCACAGCUUUCACCCACAAUACACUAUGGUUUCCUCCCC